This 460-nucleotide ribosomal RNA is filed under the name uncultured bacterium. RNAcentral's name for it is "partial 16S ribosomal RNA". It matches the Rfam family "Bacterial small subunit ribosomal RNA", at positions 338 to 795 of the family's 1533-position model. The record is from RNAcentral.
CCUACGGGAGGCAGCAGUGAGGAAUAUUGGUCAAUGGACGAGAGUCUGAACCAGCCAAGUAGCGUGAAGGAUGACUGCCCUAUGGGUUGUAAACUUCUUUUAUAUGGGAAUAAAACAGGGUAUGCAUACCCUCUUGUAUGUACCAUAUGAAUAAGGAUCGGCUAACUCCGUGCCAGCAGCCGCGGUAAUACGGAGGAUCCGAGCGUUAUCCGGAUUUAUUGGGUGUAAAGGGAGCGUAGGUGGAUUGUUAAGUCGGGUGUGAAAGUUUGCGGCUCAACCGUAAAAUUGCAGUUGAAACUGGCAGGCUUGAGUAGAGGAGAGGUGGGCGGAAUUCGUGGUGUAGCGGUGAAAUGCUUAGAUAUCACGAAGAACUCCGAUUGCGAAGGCAGCUCACUGGACUGCAACUGACACUGAUGCUCGAAAGUGUGGGUAUCAAACAGGAUUAGAUACCCUUGUAGUC